CUUUAUAUACCCCAUCUCCUCUGCCCAGCUCUUCAUCGAUUCCUGUAUUCCCUCUCCAAUCCCAGCUUAUAAUUUUAUGUUUUUUUUUGGUUUUUUUUUUCUGUUUUUCUGUUUACAAUUUUUAUUUACUUUCAUCUUCGUCGAUAGCUUUGUUUCAUGUUGCUUUUCCAGCUUUUGUGUGCGGUGAUGAGUAUUUUGCUGGACUAGAGUUUCUGAUCUGGGAUUUCAAGCCCCAGUUUUGAAGAGAAACCCUUGGCUGUCUGAGCACAUUAAUUUAAUAGCUUGAUAAAUCUUUUUUUUUUUUUUCAAAUGUUUUCUAGUGGGCUUAGGAUGAAAAUUUUAAUUAUCUUAGCGGAUUUCUGUGAGAUUAUUCUUAAUCAGUGAUCUCAUUGUUACACACACUGAAGCCCCUCGUUUUAAAUUUUUUUUGGUUGCAUUGCUUUUAUUAUAAGAUCAUUUUUUUUAAAAUUUAAUUUUGCGUUUUUUUUUGCUUUCUUAUUGGAUAAUAAUGCUGUGAUGAGGCAAGCACCAUAUGGUGUUUUAGGGCAGUGGAAGUAUCCGUGAGCCCAUUUAUCUAAUGACUUCUCCUUCCACUGAGCAUCAUUUUUUUUCUUUUCAAUUAUUAUUUUCUUUGACUAUUUGGAUUUUUUUUGGUAAUUCAGGAGUAGAAAAAUGGCGUCCAUUACCAAUUCUGGGGGAUAAAUCUGGUUCCUCUUGGUAUAAUGGCUCGGGCGCAAUAUCAAUUGUGGUUAUCCUGAUUGAUGGAUAACUUUUGUAAUGCCAUUAGAUCCUGGAAACGCCACUUAUAUUUUUUAGCUCUAGUUUUUUCCUUCAUUUGAUAAUAUUGCAUUUCUUUGCUUAAUCUUCACAGGAAUCUAAAUAUUAUGAGAAAAGUUGAAAAGCUUUGGGAGCUUGAGGUACAAGAAAAUUAGAAUCAAUCUUCAAUUUUGUUUGGAUGGAAUUGUUGGCACAGUAUUUGGACAUGGGAGGAGUGAGACAGGGUAUAUGCUGCGGAUCAAUCUUCACCCCGGAUGCAGUUGGUGGGAUCUGUAGCACUGUGGAGUCAACAGGAAUCUAAAAAUUGUGAGAAAAGUUGAAAAGCUUUGGGGAACUUGAGGUACAAGAAAAUUAGAAUCAAUCUUCAAUUUUGUUUGGAUGGAAUUGUUGGCACAGUAUUUGGACAUGGGAGGAGGGAGACAGGGUACAUGCUGCGGAUCAAUCUUCACCCCGGUUGCAGUUGGUGGGAUCUGUAGCACCGUGGAGUCUACAGAUUCACGCCCGAGGCAGUUGCACAUAUUACACAAAAUGGAGUAUGAUGGUUAUGUGAAUGGUGGGGACUCAUCUGAUGAUUCGGACGACGAGGAGCUCAUGUUGGCCUUUGCUGCCUUUAUCCUUGCUGGAUUGGCCUUAUUCGACCCGUACAUCAACUUAGGGCAACGGCGAAGAAUUCGAGAUGGUGCAAAGUCGGGUGCUCAAUAUGUUAUAGAGCUGAUAAAAGGCUAUCGAGACAGAAUAUUCGAAAACCUUCGAAUGGAAGCUCCCCUUUUUCUCAAAUUGUGUGACUUGUUGGUUCAGAGGGGCUAUUGGGUGGCCCACCCGACACAACGGGUGGGGAUUCAUGAGUCCGUUGCUAUAUGUCUGCUGUGUUUAAGUCAUAAUGAGCGACACAUGGUGCUUGCCGAGAGAUUUCAACAUUCUCCCGAGACAACAGACCGCCAUCUACGACGCUGCCUUAGAUCUCCCGUUCGAUUGAGACGCGACCUGGUCCGACCGGUGGAUUAUCACAUAACCCAUCCAAGAAUAAAGAACAGUGCUUUGUUCUGGCCCUGAUUUAAGGAUUGCGUUGGAGCGAUUGACGGAACACACGUUUUGGCCUGGUGUACAGCCGAAGACAUGAAACGUUACCGGAACAGGCAUGGUAGCUUAUCACAAAACGUUCUAGUCGUGCGUGAUCACAACAUGAGAUUCACUUAUGUCACGGUAGGGUGGGAGGGUAACACACACGAUUCUAGAAUCUUACAAGAAAUCAUACAAGAUCCUAAUUGUGUCUUUCCGUGGCCACCAGCAGGGAAGUAUUACGCGGUGGACGCGGCUUACCAGAAUAUCACAGGACUCAUGGCUCCAUUUAAAGGUGCACGGGGAACCGCGCAAAAGCGGACAGUGAGGACACUCUUCAACAAACGGCAUGCAUCGUUAAGAAACAUUAUAGAACGCACGUUUGGCGUCUUGAAGAAGCGGUUUUCAAUACUUAAGGGCCCCAUGCAGAAGUAUAUGAUGACUACUCAAAAUAAUAUUGUCCUGGCUUGUUGUGCCUUGCACAACUUCAUGCGCGAGUAUGUUCCAAAUGAAUCAUAUUUUGUUGAAGAAAAAGCAGAUAUAGCAUUAACAGAUAACAUAAACCCUUUCAACCCAAUGCCCGCAGCACAAGUUUCAAAUAUGUCGGCUGCAGGAAUUGUUGAAUGGAAUGAAAGUAGGAAAGCAAUAGCCGAUAUGAUGUACUAUCAUCAACACCAGUAGAACAUCUCCUGUCAUUAUUUGUUCAGAUAGUACACCCAAUAAAUUGCACACUUAUGUCUCAUCUAUGUAUUAAAAAAUUGAUAAUUGUUUAAGUGCAAAUGGCAUUCAGUAUUUCAAACA
Molecule: non-coding RNA, 2637 nt
Organism: Coffea arabica (coffee)
Lineage: Eukaryota; Viridiplantae; Streptophyta; Magnoliopsida; Gentianales; Rubiaceae
Source: RefSeq, a predicted model, not a curated record